GACGAACGCUGGCGGCGUGCUUAACACAUGCAAGUCGAACGGAAAGGCCCUGCUUUUGUGGGGUGCUCGAGUGGCGAACGGGUGAGUAACACGUGAGUAACCUGCCCUUGACUUUGGGAUAACUUCAGGAAACUGGGGCUAAUACCGGAUCGGAGCUCCUGCUGCAUGGUGGGGGUUGGAAAGUUUCGGCGGUUGGGGAUGGACUCGCGGCUUAUCAGCUUGUUGGUGGGGUAGUGGCUUACCAAGGCUUUGACGGGUAGCCGGCCUGAGAGGGUGACCGGCCACAUUGGGACUGAGAUACGGCCCAGACUCCUACGGGAGGCAGCAGUGGGGAAUAUUGCACAAUGGGCGGAAGCCUGAUGCAGCAACGCCGCGUGCGGGAUGACGGCCUUCGGGGUGUAAACCGCUUUCGCCUGUGACGAAGCGUGAGUGACGGUAAUGGGUAAAGAAGCACCGGCUAACUACGUG
Molecule: ribosomal RNA, 468 nt
Filed under: uncultured bacterium
Lineage: Bacteria
Description: partial 16S ribosomal RNA
Rfam family: Bacterial small subunit ribosomal RNA
Source: RNAcentral